Molecule: non-coding RNA, 429 nt
Organism: Ceratotherium simum simum (southern white rhinoceros)
Lineage: Eukaryota; Metazoa; Chordata; Mammalia; Perissodactyla; Rhinocerotidae
Source: RefSeq, a predicted model, not a curated record
ACAAAGAAAUCAGAAAUUAGAAUGUAUUGGAUACCCAAACACAAAAAGAUAAUUACUACUAGAAAAAUUUCACAACUAUCAGCUUGAAUAAAAUUUUUUAAAAAGUGGGAGAGGUAGACAAAUGAGGUAAUUAAGCUUAGGUCAAAUCAAUCACAGAGAGAACUGUCUACAUUAUGGUUUAUUAAGUAUAAUAGGUAUUAAACCCUUGAAUUAUCUAAACCCCUCCCACUUUAGUUCCAGAUUACUAAAAAUUUCCCAAUUAAAACCAGCCACUCAAUGCUAGCAAUUUUUUAACCUUUUAGGAGGAUUCAGGACCCAUAUUUGUUAGUUGUUUCAUAUCCCCUUGGGCUUGAGUAUUAAUUACCAAGACACUUCUUAAAUGAUAUGUGGUCCCCAGUAAUUAUACUGUGCUUGAGAAUUCAUGUAUUA